This 493-nucleotide ribosomal RNA is filed under the name uncultured bacterium. RNAcentral's name for it is "partial 16S ribosomal RNA". It matches the Rfam family "Bacterial small subunit ribosomal RNA", at positions 27 to 507 of the family's 1533-position model. The record is from RNAcentral.
GAGUGAACGCUGGCGGUAGGCCUAACACAUGCAAGUCGAACGGCAGCACAGUAAGAGCUUGCUCUUACGGGUGGCGAGUGGCGGACGAGUGAGGAAUACAUCGGAAUCUACUUUUUCGUGGGGGAUAACGUAGGGAAACUUACGCUAAUACCGCAUACGACCUACGGGUGAAAGCAGGGGAUCUUCGGACCUUGCGCGAUUGAAUGAGCCGAUGUCGGAUUAGCUAGUUGGCGGGGUAAAGGCCCACCAAGGCGACGAUCCGUAGCUGGUCUGAGAGGAUGAUCAGCCACACUGGAACUGAGACACGGUCCAGACUCCUACGGGAGGCAGCAGUAGGGAAUAUUGGACAAUGGGCGCAAGCCUGAUCCAGCCAUACCGCGUGGGUGAAGAAGGCCUUCGGGUUGUAAAGCCCUUUUGUUGGGAAAGAAAAGCAGCAGGUUAAUACCCCGCUGUUCUGACGGUACCCAAAGAAUAAGCACCGGCUAACUUCGUG